UUAUUUUUAAAAUCAACUUUAUCGAGGCAUAAUGUAUCUACAACAAAACACAAUCGAUGAGUCCUGACACAUGAAUAAACCUGUGUAAGGACCACCACAAUCAAGAUACAAAAACAUUUGCGUCACCACAAAUGGUUUCCUUCUGCUCCUUCCCAGUUAAUUCUUACCCCAAUCCAGGCAGUCACCGGCUUUAAAAAAAAAAAAGUACCCUUCUGGAGACAUUUCCUGCAAAUGUAAGCAAACAAAUACAUUGUUUUUUAAUUUUUGUUUUUGUCUUUUUCUGAGAGCAACUACCUUUCCCGAUUCCUUUGCAUUUUUGCACUUGACAGUUUUUGUUACCAGUAUCUUUGUGUAAGUCACUUUCUCAUGCUUUGGGGGGGCAUGUUUCUAAAACGGAAUUUAUCCUGUGUGCAUAGAUAUGAUCCGGUUUCAAACUCGUGUUAAGGUUUGCCAGAUCGGAGCGCAUCGCUUUCAAACUUCCGUUGUCGUUCCGUGUUAAUUUCAUGCUUUCUCCUCUCUAUUCCCCCUGGUUCUCCACCCCUCCCCUCACUGCUGCAAACCGUUCCAGCGAAAACAGCGCGGAGAGGCGGAGGGAACCAAGACACUGCAGCCAGUCCCCCAGGAUCCCGUCGCUCGCGUUCACAGCUGGAAAAGUCAGGUGACAUUCGAGUCCUAUGGACAACGAUUCGGAAUCCGAUGAAGAGGAAAAUGGAUUUUCCAGGGCCGGUGUACACCUGCCCGGAAGAAAGACACAUUGUUACCAUGCAGCUCCUGGAAACCACCGCCUGGGUCCCUCUCUCGUCUGCAGGCGCCCUUGGAAAAUUGAGCGGGUGAUCUGUGUCAGACAGCCACAGCGACACUAACCGCCACCACCACCCCUGUCUGAGAGCUCCCUGGGCACCCACUCAUUUGAUCAGAUGCCAACUUUGCAGGGCACAGAUCUGAAAUGUCUGCACAGGAACCACUGAAGACCUCCAGCUCAAUGGAGAUAAAUGGAGGCUUUGGUCCCCAGCCACUCCCCAGAGAACCAGGAAUCACUGCUGUCUGAUUUUUACCGUCUCCGUCCCACCGUUGCAGCCUGUGCCUCCGAGGUGCAUACUUGGCCGGCCCAGAGAGGUAAUUUUCGGGAACAGACUGGACCAGAUGCUUCGGCUUGAAUUUCCGAUGCUCCACAAAGGCCGAGCUGAAGGCCGCACCCCUAGGAACUUGGGAAAGAAGUGAGAGAGAAGCAGAAGGAGGCACCGUCCUGGUGAGGAUGAGCCCUGAUGUCCAGCUCCCCUCCGCUCCCAGGGUCCGCAGGGAGGCAGCCGCAGCCAGCUUUGGUCAUAUGGGAUGGACGCCUUUCAGCCAAGCUGCCUGGGAAGCCAGGUUCCUGAAGUCCACCUGCAUUUCUUCUUUCUCCAUAAGGUGGCCUGGGUUGGGGACAUUGAGUCUCUCACUUCCUUGGAGAGCUACAUAAAUCUGAGAGGUCUGUGAACCAGCAAGGGUGUGGGACUGGGGUGCCGUCCAAUUCUACUGAGAGACUGAGAGGCUCUUGUGUCUUCUGCCUUUCGAAACAGUCCACAGGAUACUAACGUUAAACAAGUUAUAAACGUUCUUCUUCUUCUUCCCUUCUCCUCCUCCUUCCCCCCCUCUCCCUUUCCUCUCUCCCCUUUCUUCUUCUUUUUUUUA
Molecule: non-coding RNA, 1671 nt
Organism: Vicugna pacos (alpaca)
Lineage: Eukaryota; Metazoa; Chordata; Mammalia; Artiodactyla; Camelidae
Source: RefSeq, a predicted model, not a curated record